UACGGGGGGGGCAAGCGUUGUUCGGAAUUACUGGGCGUAAAGGGCUCGUAGGCGGCCAACUAAGUCGGAUGUGAAAUCCCCAGGCUUAACUUGGGAACUGCAUCCGAUACUGGAUGGCUUGAAUCCGGGAGAGGGAUGCGGAAUUCCAGGUGUAGCGGUGAAAUGCGUAGAUAUCUGGAGGAACACCGGUGGCGAAGGCGGCAUCCUGGACCGGCAUUGACGCUGAUGAGCGAAAGCCAGGUGAGCAAACGGG
This 253-nucleotide ribosomal RNA is filed under the name uncultured bacterium. Its description in RNAcentral is "partial 16S ribosomal RNA". It matches the Rfam family "Bacterial small subunit ribosomal RNA", at positions 524 to 776 of the family's 1533-position model. The record is from RNAcentral.